Non-coding RNA from Ceratobasidium sp. AG-Ba, 94 nucleotides. The record is from the annotation of a GenBank genome assembly. Lineage: Eukaryota; Fungi; Basidiomycota; Agaricomycetes; Cantharellales; Ceratobasidiaceae.
UCCGGUAUGGUGUAACGGCUAACAUUGUCGCCUUUCACAUGCAAAUGUGAUUAUUUAAUCGCGACGGCUCGGGGUUCGAUUCCCCGUACCGGAG